AAUUUUGGAAUCUUCUUUGUGGAAACCGUCAGGAAACACUGACAUGUGUUUUCACCCAGCAGCAGGCGAAAGGGCUUGGAUGUGGAAUAAGAAUAGCUGGCAGAUGAUUGAGCUAUAGGCUCCAGAGGAAAGGUACACUCCACACCAGCUCCAGAGAACGAGAAAAGACUUCCCGGAGGAGAUGGUGCUAAAUCCGAAGGGACCAUUAAGGAUGACUAGCGGGAUAUUGAUGAAGCUUAAGGUCUCAUGCCCAGGAUGCUUUCUUAUAGGCCAAAUGGUAUCACUCCAUUCUACUGGUGUCAGCUGCUUGAAAUAGUGUAGACAUAGAGAAUUCUGGGACGCGUGUCGCUCAGAAAUAAUGUCAAAGUCCUGGCUGAAGGUAUCUACAUUACCCACGAAUUGCUGUAUAUGAGUGGAAUGUACAAGCAUGGAUGCAACAGCAAGAGAACUAAAUUUGUUUUGUGCUUCAAA
This 471-nucleotide non-coding RNA is filed under the name Pan troglodytes (chimpanzee). Lineage: Eukaryota; Metazoa; Chordata; Mammalia; Primates; Hominidae. The record is from RNAcentral.